ACACGCUGGCGGCGUGCCUAAUACAUGCAAGUCGAACGGCUUUUCUAUGGAAGCUUGCUUCCACUGAGAAGAUAGUGGCGAACGGGUGAGUAACACGUGGGUAACCUGCCCAUAAGAGGGGGAUAACAUCCGGAAACGGGUGCUAAUACCGCAUAGUUUUCUUGAUCGCAUGAUUGAGAAAGGAAAGACGGCCUUUGUGCUGUCGCUUAUGGAUGGACCCGCGGCGUAUUAGUUAGUUGGUGAGGUAACGGCUCACCAAGACGAUGAUACGUAGCCGACCUGAGAGGGUGAUCGGCCACAUUGGGACUGAGACACGGCCCAAACUCCUACGGGAGGCAGCAGUAGGGAAUCUUCCGCAAUGGACGAAAGUCUGACGGAGCAACGCCGCGUGAGUGAAGAAGGUUUUUCCGGAUCGUAAAACUCUGUUGUCAGAGAAGAACAAGUUGGAGAGUAACUGCUCCAGCCUUGACGGUAUCUGACCAGAAAGCCACGGCUAACUACGUGCCAGCAGCGGC
RNAcentral lists this ribosomal RNA (515 nucleotides) under uncultured bacterium. Its description in RNAcentral is "bacterial SSU rRNA". It matches the Rfam family "Bacterial small subunit ribosomal RNA", at positions 33 to 518 of the family's 1533-position model. The record is from RNAcentral.